UUUAUAUAUAUAGAUUUACAACCCUUCCCUCUUUUGUUCACCUUUUCUCAUCCUCAACCGUUAGGCUUUUAUAUUUUUGUAUGAACCUCAAUUCCUUUACCUUUCUUCUUUCUCACUUUCUAAUCCAACUUCUUUCACCAUUCUAUCUUCUCCUUCUCUUUUCAAUCUCGGAAUUAUCAAUCCUUGGUAUGUUGUUAGUUCAUCUUGCCCUUCUCUGUUUAUCUGUAAUCUUAUAUUCCUAACUCAAAUAUUCAUAUCUAAACCGCAUCUCCCCUUAGAAAGAUCAGGAUUUUUUAUAUGUGAAGCUCAACCGACGCCGACAUCAACGAUUGUCUUUUUGACAGCCACGUUGAAGCCCAACCAAUGAUGACGUCAACGCCGUCAGUGUGAACCUUCAUGUGUUCAAACGAUGUUGGCCUAGAUCCUGUUGUCUCUGUCUUUGGUUUAGUGUUUGAAGAACAUUUGUUUCCUACAUAUGUAGCUGGACUGUGUUUGGAAUUUUUUCUUUUGGUUUCUUGGUCUGAA
Molecule: long non-coding RNA, 525 nt
Organism: Prunus avium (sweet cherry)
Lineage: Eukaryota; Viridiplantae; Streptophyta; Magnoliopsida; Rosales; Rosaceae
Source: RefSeq, a predicted model, not a curated record